AAUAAUCCUUUGAUGAGGGAGAGUAGCUAUUAUGUAAGGUUUCAGAGAGCCGAAGGUGGUGUGAUUUCGGUACUAAAGCAAAUAGUGAAUGGGCCUCUGAGGAGUGAUACGAAAUUUUAUUAAAGUAGUUGAUCCGUAAGUCCCACGAUAUAGGGAAUAGGGUAUGUUAGUACCUGAUAAGAGAGGCUUUUAAAGCAAUUUAGGUGGCAACGCGGAUAAUAUCGUCCUAUAC
Molecule: non-coding RNA, 232 nt
Filed under: Clostridium sp.
Lineage: Bacteria; Bacillati; Bacillota; Clostridia; Eubacteriales; Clostridiaceae
Description: T-box sequence
Rfam family: T-box leader
About the family: Uncharged tRNA acts as the effector for transcription antitermination of genes in the T-box leader family. T-boxes are found upstream of many aminoacyl-tRNA synthetase genes and some amino acid biosynthetic genes usually in Gram-positive bacteria. The anticodon of a specific tRNA base pairs to a specifier sequence within the T-box motif, and the NCCA acceptor tail of the tRNA base pairs to a conserved bulge in the T-box antiterminator hairpin.
Source: RNAcentral